GAGGGUAUAGCUCAGUGGAAGGGCACAUGCCCAGCAUGCACGAGGUCCUGGGUUCAAUCCCUGGUACCUCCA
Molecule: transfer RNA, 72 nt
Organism: Camelus ferus (Wild Bactrian camel)
Lineage: Eukaryota; Metazoa; Chordata; Mammalia; Artiodactyla; Camelidae
Rfam family: tRNA
About the family: Transfer RNA (tRNA) molecules are approximately 80 nucleotides in length.
Source: Rfam